This 429-nucleotide ribosomal RNA is filed under the name uncultured bacterium. Its description in RNAcentral is "bacterial SSU rRNA". It matches the Rfam family "Bacterial small subunit ribosomal RNA", at positions 355 to 776 of the family's 1533-position model. The record is from RNAcentral.
UGGGGAAUCUUGCGCAAUGGGCGAAAGCCUGACGCAGCAACGCCGCGUGUGUGAUGAAGGCCUUCGGGUUGUAAAGCACUGUCAAGAGGGAAGAAAUGCUGGGGGUUAAUACCCUUCAGCUAUGACGGUACCUCUGAAGGAAGCACCGGCUAACUCCGUGCCAGCAGCCGCGGCAACACGGGGGGUGCGAACGUUGUUCGGAAUCAUUGGGCGUAAAGCGCGUGUAGGCCGAUCGGUAAGUCGGGUGUGAAAGCCCGGGGCUCAACCCCGGAACUGCGCUCGAAACUACCGGUCUUGAGUACGGGAGGGGGAAGCGGAAUUCUUGGUGUAGGGGUGAAAUCCGUAGAUAUCAGGAGGAACACCGAUGGCGAAGGCAGCUUCCUGGACCGAUACUGACGCUGAGACGCGAAAGCGUGGGGAGCAAACAGG